Molecule: small RNA, 252 nt
Filed under: Otolemur garnettii (small-eared galago)
Lineage: Eukaryota; Metazoa; Chordata; Mammalia; Primates; Galagidae
Description: Metazoan signal recognition particle RNA (ENSOGAG00000027348.1)
Source: RNAcentral
GCCAGGCAUUGUGGUGGGUGCCUGUGGUCCCAGCUACUUGGGAGGCAGAGGCAGGAGACUCGCCUGAGCCCAGGAGUUGGAGGUUGCUGUGAGGUGUGAUGCCAUGGCACUCUACCCAGGGUGACAGCUUGAGGCUCUAUCUCAAAAGAAAAAAAAAAGACACAGUCUCACUUUGUUGCCCUCAGUAGAGUGCUAUGGUGUCAUAGCUCACAGCAAUCUCAAACUCCUGGGCUUGAUCAAGCAAUCCUGUUG